Molecule: ribosomal RNA, 506 nt
Filed under: uncultured bacterium
Lineage: Bacteria
Description: partial 16S ribosomal RNA
Rfam family: Bacterial small subunit ribosomal RNA
Source: RNAcentral
GACGAACGCUGGCGGCGUGCUUAACACACGCAAGUCGAACGGUGAAGGGACUGGUUUUGCUGGUCCUGGAUGAGUGGCGAACGGGUGGGUAACACGUGAGUAACCUGCCCCCUUCUUCUGGAUAACCGCAUGAAAGUGUGGCUAAUACGGGAUAUUCUGGGUCUGUCGCAUGGUGGGCCUGGGAAAGAUUGCGCCUUUUUUGGUGUUUUUGGUGGGGGAUGGGCUCGCGGCCUAUCAGCUUGUUGGUGGGGUGAUGGCCUACCAAGGCGGUGACGGGUAGCCGGCCUGAGAGGGUGGACGGUCACACUGGGACUGAGACACGGCCCAGACUCCUACGGGAGGCAGCAGUGGGGAAUAUUGCACAAUGGGCGCAAGCCUGAUGCAGCGACGCCGCGUGAGGGAUGGAGGCCUUCGGGUUGUGAACCUCUUUCACCAGUGAAGCGGGCCUGCCUCUUUUUGUGGGUGGGUUGACGGUAGCUGGAUAAGAAGCGCCGGCUAACUACGUG